GACGGAAGGUGCAAGCGUUGCUCGGAAUCACUGGGCGUAAAGGGUGCGUAGGCGGCCGUGCAAGUCUGGCGUGAAAGCCCGGGCUCAGCCCGGGAAGUGCGCUCGAAACUGCGCGGGCUCGAGUGCCGGAGGGGAGAGUGGAAUUCCUGGUGUAGCGGUGAAAUGCGUAGAUAUCAGGAGGAAUACCGGUGGCGAAGGCGGAUCUCUGGGCCGUAACUGACGCUGAGGAGCGAAAGCUGGGGGAGCGAACAGG
RNAcentral lists this ribosomal RNA (253 nucleotides) under uncultured bacterium. RNAcentral's name for it is "partial 16S ribosomal RNA". It matches the Rfam family "Bacterial small subunit ribosomal RNA", at positions 524 to 776 of the family's 1533-position model. The record is from RNAcentral.